Molecule: ribosomal RNA, 506 nt
Filed under: uncultured bacterium
Lineage: Bacteria
Description: partial 16S ribosomal RNA
Rfam family: Bacterial small subunit ribosomal RNA
Source: RNAcentral
AGUGAACGCUGGCGGUAGGCCUAACACAUGCAAGUCGAACGGCAGCACAGAGGAGCUUGCUCCUUGGGUGGCGAGUGGCGGACGGGUGAGGAAUACAUCGGAAUCUACUCUGUCGUGGGGGAUAACGUAGGGAAACUUACGCUAAUACCGCAUACGACCUACGGGUGAAAGCAGGGGAUCUUCGGACCUUGCGCGAUUGAAUGAGCCGAUGUCGGAUUAGCUAGUUGGCGGGGUAAAGGCCCACCAAGGCGACGAUCCGUAGCUGGUCUGAGAGGAUGAUCAGCCACACUGGAACUGAGACACGGUCCAGACUUCUACGGGAGGCAGCAGUGGGGAAUAUUGGACAAUGGGCGCAGGCCUGAUCCGGCCAUACCGCGUGGGUGAAGAAGGCCUUCGGGUUGUAAAGCCCUUUUGUUGAGAAAGAAAUCCAUCUGGUUAAUACCCGGGUGGGAUGACGGUACCCAAAGAAUAAGCACCGGCUAACUUCGUGCCAGCAGCCGCCGUAA